ACGAACGCUGGCGGCGUGCCUAAUACAUGCCAGUAGAACGCUGAAGGAAGGAGCUUGCUCUUUCUGGAUGAGUUGCGAACGGGUGAGUAACGCGUAGGUAACCUGCCUGGUAGCGGGGGAUAACUAUUGGAAACGAUAGCUAAUACCGCAUAAAAUUGAUUAUUGCAUGAUAGUCAAUUAAAAGGUGCAACUGCACCACUACCAGAUGGACCUGCGUUGUAUUAGCUAGUUGGUGGGGUAACGGCUCACCAAGGCGACGAUACAUAGCCGACCUGAGAGGGUGAUCGGCCACACUGGGACUGGGACACGGCCCAGACUCCUACGGGAGGCAGCAGUAGGGAAUCUUCGGCAAUGGACGGAAGUCUGACCGAGCAACGCCGCGUGAGUGAAGAAGGUUUUCGGAUCGUAAAGCUCUGUUGUAAGAGAAGAACGAGUGUGAGAGUGGAAAGUUCACACUGUGACGGUAUCUUACCAGAAAGGGACGGCUAACUACGUG
RNAcentral lists this ribosomal RNA (496 nucleotides) under uncultured bacterium. RNAcentral's name for it is "partial 16S ribosomal RNA". It matches the Rfam family "Bacterial small subunit ribosomal RNA", at positions 29 to 507 of the family's 1533-position model. The record is from RNAcentral.